UACAGAGGCCCCGAGCGUUAUCCGGAAUCAUUGGGCGUAAAGGGUGUCGAGGCGGUCAUGUUAGUCGUUCGUUAAAUCUGGGGGCUCAACCUCCAGCCUGCGAGCGAAACGGCAUGACUUGAGGGUGGGAGAGGUGCGUGGAACUCACGGUGUAGGGGUGAAAUCCGUUGAUAUCGUGGGGAACACCAAAGGCGAAGGCAGCGCACUGGCCCAUUUCCUGACGCUCACACACGAAAGCCAGGGUAGCGAAUGGG
RNAcentral lists this ribosomal RNA (254 nucleotides) under uncultured bacterium. Its description in RNAcentral is "partial 16S ribosomal RNA". It matches the Rfam family "Bacterial small subunit ribosomal RNA", at positions 524 to 776 of the family's 1533-position model. The record is from RNAcentral.